Molecule: long non-coding RNA, 206 nt
Filed under: Mytilus galloprovincialis (Mediterranean mussel)
Lineage: Eukaryota; Metazoa; Mollusca; Bivalvia; Mytilida; Mytilidae
Source: RNAcentral
AAAAAUCAAUAAUACAGCAGUCAACAUUGUGCUUUAAUCCGUAUCACUAAAAUAAACAUACACACAUGUAACCAAGAAGCACAAAAUGACAUAUAGUAAAAAUUAAAGUCAAGAAUACACAAAUUAACAAUAGUACAAUAAAACAAUGACGGGAUGUAUAAGUACAGAUCCACGUCAUAUAUGUAACGAAGAAACAUAAAAAGGCA